RNAcentral lists this ribosomal RNA (467 nucleotides) under uncultured bacterium. Its description in RNAcentral is "partial 16S ribosomal RNA". It matches the Rfam family "Bacterial small subunit ribosomal RNA", at positions 28 to 507 of the family's 1533-position model. The record is from RNAcentral.
GAUGAGCGCUGGCGGCGUGCUUAACACAUGCAAGUCGAACGGAAAGGCCCAAGCUUGCUUGGGUACUCGAGUGGCGAACGGGUGAGUAACACGUGGGUGAUCUGCCCUGCACUUCGGGAUAAGCCUGGGAAACUGGGUCUAAUACCGGAUAGGACCACUUCUUGGAUGUUGUGGUGGAAAGUUUUUUCGGUGUGGGAUGAGCUCGCGGCCUAUCAGCUUGUUGGUGGGGUAAUGGCCUACCAACGCGUCGACGGGUAGCCGGCCUGAGAGGGUGUACGGCCACAUUGGGACUGAGAUACGGCCCAGACUCCUACGGGAGGCAGCAGUGGGGAAUAUUGCACAAUGGGCGCAAGCCUGAUGCAGCGACGCCGCGUGGGGGAUGACGGCCUUCGGGUUGUAAACUCCUUUCGCUAGGGACGAAGCGUUUUGUGACGGUACCUGGAGAAGAAGCACCGGCUAACUACGUG